This 734-nucleotide ribosomal RNA is filed under the name Azadinium poporum. Its description in RNAcentral is "eukaryotic LSU rRNA". It matches the Rfam family "Eukaryotic large subunit ribosomal RNA", at positions 36 to 657 of the family's 3401-position model. Lineage: Eukaryota; Dinophyceae; Gonyaulacales; Amphidomataceae. The record is from RNAcentral.
AAGCAUAUAAGUAAGCGGAGGACAAGAAACUAAAUAGGAUUCCCCCAGUAAUGGCGAAUGAACAGGGAAGAGCUCAGCAUGGAAAUCGGGGCCUCCCGGCCUUGAAUUGUAGUCUUGAGAUGUACUGCCAACGGAGGCGCAGAUGUAAGCCUCUUGGAAAAGAGCAUCAACGAGGGUGAGAGUCCCGUUUGUCAUCUGCAGUCCCCCGUGCACGGUGUACAUUCUAAGAGUCACGUUCCUCGGGAUUGGAGCGCAAAGUGGGUGGUAAAUUUCAUCUAAAGCUAAAUAUUGGUUCGAGACCGAUAGCAAACAAGUACCAUGAGGGAAAGGUGAAAAGGACUUUGAAAAGAGAGUUAAAAGUGCCUGAAAUUGCUGAAAGGGAAGCGAAUGGAACCAGUGUUCUUGAUGAGAUUGUCGCGUACUCUGGUGAUUGCUGGGUGCUCCACCGCAAGGGGGGCAUUUGGUUUUGAGCUAGAUGUGCGUGGUGUUUCUUGUCUUGUGUGUCACCGUCGGUGCACGAGCGAGUAAACCUCCAGGGAGAUGGUAACUCGUCUGCGGAUGUGUGAAUGUCUCUGGUAGUACUCAUUUGUGUAUCGAUCCCUGCGUGUCUGGUUGCAGUGUUUGAGUCGUCUGGAAGCUUCUGAAAGGCUUGCCCUCGAUGAACUUUCUGGGCUCCUUGAGCAUCUCCCUGACACAAAGACGAUGACUAAUGGGUUCUAUUCGACCCGUCUUGA